This 403-nucleotide ribosomal RNA is filed under the name Verrucomicrobiota bacterium. RNAcentral's name for it is "Verrucomicrobia bacterium partial 16S ribosomal RNA". It matches the Rfam family "Bacterial small subunit ribosomal RNA", at positions 355 to 776 of the family's 1533-position model. The record is from RNAcentral. Lineage: Bacteria; Pseudomonadati; Verrucomicrobiota.
UGGGGAAUAUUGCACAAUGGGCGCAAGCCUGAUGCAGCAACGCCGCGUGAACGAUGAAGGUCUUCGGAUCGUAAAGUUCUGUUGCAGGGGAAGAUAAUGACGGUACCCUGUGAGGAAGCCCCGGCUAACUACGUGCCAGCAGCCGCGGUAAUACGUAGGGGGCUAGCGUUAUCCGGAUUUACUGGGCGUAAAGGGUGCGUAGGUGGUCUUUCAAGUCGGUGGUUAAAGGCUACGGCUCAACCGUAGUUAGCCUCCGAAACUGGAAGACUUGAGUGAAGGAGAGGAAAGUGGAAUUCCUAGUGUAGCGGUGAAAUGCGUAGAUAUUAGGAGGAAUACCGGUGGCGAAGGCGACUUUCUGGACUUUUACUGACGCUCAGGUACGAAAGCGUGGGGAGCAAACAGG